GAUGAACGCUGGCGGCGUGCCUAAUACAUGCAAGUCGAGCGAACGGACGAGAAGCUUGCUUCUCUGAUGUUAGCGGCGGACGGGGGAGUAACACGUGGAUAACCUACCUAUAAGACUGGGAUAACUUCGGGAAACCGGAGCUAAUACCGGAUAAUAUUUUGAACCGCAUGGUUCAAAAGUGAAAGACGGUCUUGCUGUCACUUAUAGAUGGAUCCGCGCUGCAUUAGCUAGUUGGUAAGGUAACGGCUUACCAAGGCAACGAUGCAUAGCCGACCUGAGAGGGUGAUCGGCCACACUGGAACUGAGACACGGUCCAGACUCCUACGGGAGGCAGCAGUCGGGAAUCUUCCGCAAUGGGCGAAAGCCUGACGGAGCAACGCCGCGUGAGUGAUGAAGGUCUUCGGAUCGUAAAACUCUGUUAUUAGGGAAGAACAUAUGUGUAAGUAACUGUGCACAUCUUGACGGUACCUAAUCAGAAAGCCACGGCUAACUACGUG
RNAcentral lists this ribosomal RNA (497 nucleotides) under uncultured bacterium. RNAcentral's name for it is "partial 16S ribosomal RNA". It matches the Rfam family "Bacterial small subunit ribosomal RNA", at positions 28 to 507 of the family's 1533-position model. The record is from RNAcentral.